GACGAACGCUGGCGGCGUGCCUAAUACAUGCAAGUAGAACGCUGAAGCGAGGAGCUUGCUCUUCUUGGAUGAGUUGCGAACGGGUGAGUAACGCGUAGGUAACCUGCCUUGUAGCGGGGGAUAACUAUUGGAAACGAUAGCUAAUACCGCAUAACAAUGGAUGACCCAUGUCAUUUAUUUGAAAGGGGCAAAUGCUCCACUACAAGAUGGACCUGCGUUGUAUUAGCUAGUAGGUGAGGUAACGGCUCACCUAGGCGACGAUACAUAGCCGACCUGAGAGGGUGAUCGGCCACACUGGGACUGAGACACGGCCCAGACGCCUACGGGAGGCAGCAGUAGGGAAUCUUCGGCAAUGGGGGCAACCCUGACUGAGCAACGCCGCGUGAGUGAAGAAGGUUUUCGGAUCGUAAAGCUCUGUUGUAAGUCAAGAACGAGUGUGAGAGUGGAAAGUUCACACUGUGACGGUAGCUUACCAGAAAGGGACGGCUAACUACGUG
This 497-nucleotide ribosomal RNA is filed under the name uncultured bacterium. Its description in RNAcentral is "partial 16S ribosomal RNA". It matches the Rfam family "Bacterial small subunit ribosomal RNA", at positions 28 to 507 of the family's 1533-position model. The record is from RNAcentral.